Molecule: ribosomal RNA, 549 nt
Filed under: uncultured Glomus
Lineage: Eukaryota; Fungi; Glomeromycota; Glomeromycetes; Glomerales; Glomeraceae
Description: SSU rRNA
Rfam family: Eukaryotic small subunit ribosomal RNA
Source: RNAcentral
UUGGAGGGCAAGUCUGGUGCCAGCAGCCGCGGUAAUUCCAGCUCCAAUAGCGUAUAUUAAAGUUGUUGCAGUUAAAAAGCUCGUAGUUGAAUUUCGGGGUCAGUAGGUUGGUCGUGCCACUGGUACGUACUGGUCUCACUGAUUCCUCCUUCCUGAUGAACCGUAAUGCCAUUAAUUUGGUGUUGCGGGGAAACUGGACUGUUACUUUGAAAAAAUUAGAGUGUUUAAAGCAGGCUAACGCUUGAAUACAUUAGCAUGGAAUAAUGAAAUAGGACGUUCGAUCCUAUUUUGUUGGUUUCUAGGAUUGACGUAAUGAUUAAUAGGGAUAGUUGGGGGCAUUAGUAUUCAAUUGUCAGAGGUGAAAUUCUUGGAUUUAUUGAAGACUAACUACUGCGAAAGCAUUUGCCAAGGAUGUUUUCAUUAAUCAAGAACGAAAGUUAGGGGAUCGUAGACGAUCAGAUACCGUCGUAGUCUUAACCAUAAACUAUGCCGACUAGGGAUCGGAUGAUGUUAAUUUUUUAAUGACUCAUUCGGCGCCUUACGGGAAAC